CCUUUCCCGCGCGACCGGCGAGGGAGGAAGAAGCGCGAAGAGCCGUUAGUCAUGCCGGUGUGGUGGCGGCGGCGGAGACUGCGGGCCCGUAGCUGGGCUCUGCGAGCAUAUAGGUUGCUGUAGAUGAAUGUUCUUAGCUGUCAUGUUUAAAAAUACUUCUGCUUCGUUACCUCAAGAUGAAAAUGAGCAUUUUACUUGAUGUUGAUAACAUCACAAUAAAUUAUGGAGAAAAAUACAUAUUUGGCUAACUUUUAAUUGCUGAACAAUAAAGUGUUUUCUUUUAAAUCAACUCU
RNAcentral lists this long non-coding RNA (293 nucleotides) under Homo sapiens (human). RNAcentral describes it as "non-protein coding SNHG6:8". The record is from RNAcentral. Lineage: Eukaryota; Metazoa; Chordata; Mammalia; Primates; Hominidae.